AUGAAGCUCGUUCCAGCAAACCAAAAUGCCUAUCGUAGCAAAAGUGCAAAAUCGAACGCUGGUUCUAGGAAACCCAAAGCGCCGGUGGUAGCAAAAAAUGGUGCUGGUUCCAGCAAAAAAAUAAACGGUUGUAGCAAAAAAAUGCAAAACUGGGUGGUGGUUGCAGCUUUCCCGACAGUGGUUGCAGCUUUCGACGACGCGGUUCCAGCUCCGUGCAGAGGUGGUUGCAACUUUUGGCAUCGAUGGUCGCCGUGGCCGGCCUCGGAGAGCUCUAGCAGCGGUGACAACAGUAGUACCAGGGUGCUACGCCGGUUGCAGCAUCACGCAAACUGUUUAUAG
This 339-nucleotide ribosomal RNA is filed under the name Triticum aestivum (bread wheat). RNAcentral's name for it is "partial small subunit ribosomal RNA". The record is from RNAcentral. Lineage: Eukaryota; Viridiplantae; Streptophyta; Magnoliopsida; Poales; Poaceae.